CUGGGGCCAGCAAGGCUCUUGGAAGAUUUCCACGUUUGCGUAGCCCAGCUCCCCACUGGAGUUGUGGUAUGGCAAAAGCGUCCCUCCCGGCUGACCGCAAAGUGGCCUGUGGAGCCCCAUGUGAAUAAAUUCGCCUCACGAGGCGCCCUCUGCAAGGACCACAAGCAGUCUAUGGGGAAAAGUACCUAGAUCCAACCUUACUGGAACGAAGGAAAGACCGGGCCAAACAGAACAGCAUAAAAGCGGGCUGUAGACAUAUGAAAAUGCAGCGUUUUAAAAAAGCUGAUCAUGGCCGGGUGCAGUGGCUUACGCCUGUAAUCCCAGCACUUUGGGAGGCCAAGGCAGGCGGAUCA
Cercocebus atys (sooty mangabey) is the source of this 353-nucleotide long non-coding RNA. RefSeq lists it as uncharacterized. NCBI's taxonomy places the organism in Eukaryota, Metazoa, Chordata, Mammalia, Primates, Cercopithecidae. The transcript has 3 exons. The record is from RefSeq and is a predicted model, not a curated record.